CGAACCGACUAAUGUUGAAAAAUUAGCGGAUGACUUGUGGCUGGGGGUGAAAGGCCAAUCAAACCGGGAGAUAGCUGGUUCUCCCCGAAAGCUAUUUAGGUAGCGCCUCGUGAAUUCAUCUCCGGGGGUAGAGCACUGUUUCGGCAAGGGGGUCAUCCCGACUUACCAACCCGAUGCAAACUGCGAAUACCGGAGAAUGUUAUCACGGGAGACACACGGCGGGUGCUAACGUCCGUCGUGAAGAGGGAAACAACCCAGACCGCCAGCUAAGGUCCCAAAGUCAUGGUUAAGUGGGAAACGAUGUGGGAAGGCCCAGACAGCCAGGAUGUUGGCUUAGAAGCAGCCAUCAUUUAAAGAAAGCGUAAUAGCUCACUGGUCGAGUCGGCCUGCGCG
This 393-nucleotide ribosomal RNA is filed under the name Escherichia coli. RNAcentral's name for it is "partial 23S ribosomal RNA". It matches the Rfam family "Bacterial large subunit ribosomal RNA", at positions 775 to 1165 of the family's 2925-position model. The record is from RNAcentral. Lineage: Bacteria; Pseudomonadati; Pseudomonadota; Gammaproteobacteria; Enterobacterales; Enterobacteriaceae.